RNAcentral lists this ribosomal RNA (207 nucleotides) under uncultured bacterium. RNAcentral's name for it is "partial 16S ribosomal RNA". It matches the Rfam family "Bacterial small subunit ribosomal RNA", at positions 568 to 774 of the family's 1533-position model. The record is from RNAcentral.
CGUGUAGGCGGCCAUGUCAGUCAGACGUGAAAGCCCUCGGCUUAACCGAGGAAUUGCGUUUGAUACUGCGUGGCUUGAGUGCGGGAGGGGAGAGUGGAAUUCCCAGUGUAGCGGUGAAAUGCGUAGAUAUUGGGAGGAACACCAGUGGCGAAGGCGGCUCUCUGGACCGCAACUGACGCUAAUGCGCGAAAGCGUGGGGAGCGAACG